Pseudonaja textilis is the source of this 1551-nucleotide non-coding RNA. Lineage: Eukaryota; Metazoa; Chordata; Lepidosauria; Squamata; Elapidae. The record is from RefSeq and is a predicted model, not a curated record.
CAGGUGAUAGAAAAUGGAGCGGAAAGAAAUUGGGUGUCAUCACUUUCCUUGAACUAGGGAGACUUUUUUAAAAAAAAAUCUGGUACAAAGAAUGUUAUCUUUUUAGUCCCUUUUCUCUAUCCCCACAUGUGGGUGGGUGGCCAGCCAACACUACCUCCUGUCUCGAACCCUCAACCGUUUGCCCAUGUAUGCUAGCCCUCUUUCCUCUUACUGAGAAACUCAGUGCAAAAAGACAGACUUGGCCGAAUAAAAAUUGAGCAAAUAAAAGGAGAAAUGAAUUAAUUUAACCAGAAAAUCUCUUUAGGAGAAUUCUGAAGUUUAGGUCACUUCAAAGAAGGCGGGAUUGGAAGAGAAGAGGACAGUUAAUAAUGUUGUUAGUCUACAUUAAUUGGAAGGAAAGCAAUCCCAGGAAGGUGACAUGUUUAAUUUAAACUAUUAAAAAACCUUUGGCUACUUAAGAAAAAAAAAAUCACCAGACAACAACACUCCUGUUGACUGCAGACGAAAUGCUUAUUUGGCAUUCUGUGCCUGGGUUAGCUCCAUAUAGUACAAGCUCUUUUCUUCCACUUGACCAUGCUGGCCACACAAGGCAAGCGCAGAAGCUGGAAGAGGACCUGGGUGGAGAAGGCCACACUAGGGUGUUCAAGGCUACCCAGUGCAGCUGGCAAUUGAAACGCCCUCGCUUGUACACAUUAACCGUGCAAUGUCUGUCUGUCAUGAUGGCAUCCUGGAUUAUCAGAUAUCUUCCCUCAGGGCCACCAGCAAAGCACCCCUCUUGCCACUUUCAACCACACCACUGCUUUUGACAAAGUUUGCCAUGACCCCCGCUGGCACAGUCCGCCCACCCCGGCACGGAUGUUUCUUCAAAAGAAUAAAUGAUUAAAAGCUACCCAACAGCUGUCCCUAUUGCGCACAGCGAGGGUGCAGCAUCAAGAGACCUCGUCCAGCGGAGAACAUCUGUGUGCAAGCACCCAUACGUGUUUAUGCGUGCUUUCUUGUAGUUGCCAUUUGAAAAGAAAGCAAGAAUCUUCAAAGAGUUAUUAACUACUUAAACCUGAGUAGGACUUAGUAGGAAAAAAAUGAGCCGAAAGAAUCAAGUUUACUUUUUGGAGAAGAUUGUAAACAGAGCCAAGUAACACCAUGGAGUGCAUUCUUUAGUUAGAAGAGUUUAGUUAAUUAAAAGUAACAUUCAUACAGCAAUGUUUUGUUUUUUUAAGUUGGUGAAAGUAUUACAAGAGAGAAGUCAUUUAUUUUCCAUGAUCUUCAACCUCUCAAAGGCUUCCAGAAGGUUUUUUUUAACAUGAAGUGGAGAGAUGGAGUCAUAAAACGGGGAAACUGAAAGGCAACUGUAGUGUUUUCCUUUUUAAAUGUCACCUUAGCCAUAUUCCUCUCAAAAUUCAUGUUACAGGAGCUAUUCUAUUCACCCCCCCCCAAUACAAAUGUCUUUGUUCAAAAGUAGGUGGGUUUGUCGAUAUUCCCUUUAAAAUUCUCUUCAUGAAAACCAAGAGCUAAAAUAUUUAUAUAUAAAUAAGAAACAUUAAAUCAAAAAAA